UCAGGACGAAAGCCGCGGCGUGCCUAAUACAUGCACGUCGAGCGGACCGAAGGGAGCUUGCUCCUUUAGGUUAGCGGCGGACGGGUGAGUAACACGUGGGCAACCUGCCCUGCAGACUGGGAUAACUUCGGGAAACCGGAGCUAAUACCGGAUAACACCGAAAACCGCAUGGUUUUCGGUUGAAAGGCGGCUUUUAGCUGUCACUGCAGGAUGGGCCCGCGGCGCAUUAGCUAGUUGGUGAGGUAACGGCUCACCAAGGCGACGAUGCGUAGCCGACCUGAGAGGGUGACCGGCCACACUGGGACUGAGACACGGCCCAGACUCCUACGGGAGGCAGCAGUAGGGAAUCUUCCGCAAUGGACGAAAGUCUGACGGAGCAACGCCGCGUGAGCGAAGAAGGUCUUCGGAUCGUAAAGCUCUGUUGUCAGGGAAGAACAAGUACCGUUCGAACAGGGCGGUACCUUGACGGUACCUGACGAAAAGCCAGGCUAAUUA
RNAcentral lists this ribosomal RNA (495 nucleotides) under Bacillus sp. SSCA48. RNAcentral's name for it is "bacterial SSU rRNA". It matches the Rfam family "Bacterial small subunit ribosomal RNA", at positions 24 to 503 of the family's 1533-position model. The record is from RNAcentral. Lineage: Bacteria; Bacillati; Bacillota; Bacilli; Caryophanales; Bacillaceae.